AGAUUAAGCUCACCACAUAAUAAGAACAUCACCUCAUUUUUAAUGGGAGCACUGGCAACAAGCUUGGAAUUGCACAAUGAAGGCCUUGAUAAAAAUUGCUUUGUGGCCUGCAAGACAUUACCAGAACUAGCCGGUGUGGCCGCAUGCGGCACGGAGUGACCAGAGGAAGAGGCUCUUGGAGCGUACUGGCUUUGGACAAGUGGGCUUCUGAAGGGGAUCACCACUGACAUGAUGUCAGAUGAAGAAGAUAAUGCCGUUGAUGGAGUGCUGGGUGGAUUGUGAGACCUUCAUCAUUCUGCAGCCAGGCCCUCAGCAAUCUGUCUGCUAAGCUGCAGGUGCAACCGUGUGUGUUCAAACUAUGCAGCAUUGCAUCGCAAACUGCAAUCUGAAUUGCUGUCUAACAGAAUGCCACCGCUUACCUAUGACCCUGAGGCAGCAAAAAGGCAUUUGAUGCCAAAUGUGAUCCCAAGAACAUAAUCUCUGGCUAUAUUUGACUUUUUGUGUGUUUUUGUAAUUGCUAGUGAUUAAUUUAUGUGCUUCCUUUAGUGGUUAAAACUUUUGUUUUGCCAAUGGGUUGUUUGGGUGUCUGUGACAUGAAUAAAAACAUAUGGGGCGGUUUCCCAGACAGAGUUUAGAUUAACCCAGGACUAGGCCUUAAUUAUAUUAGGACAUUUAAGUAGCUUUUACAAACAAACCUUACCAAAAAAUGCUUGGGUGCAUUCUGUGACAAAACAGUGGCACUGAUAUAUGAUGUU
Molecule: long non-coding RNA, 755 nt
Organism: Misgurnus anguillicaudatus (oriental weatherfish)
Lineage: Eukaryota; Metazoa; Chordata; Actinopteri; Cypriniformes; Cobitidae
Source: RefSeq, a predicted model, not a curated record